This 407-nucleotide long non-coding RNA is filed under the name Cucumis sativus (cucumber). RNAcentral describes it as "long non-coding RNA (CSAT_LNC000490)". Lineage: Eukaryota; Viridiplantae; Streptophyta; Magnoliopsida; Cucurbitales; Cucurbitaceae. The record is from RNAcentral.
CCCACAAUGUUCCUACCCCUAAAGCAAAGGCUAACACUAGCUAAACUUCCCUCGCUACUCGAAACUCAACAAUGUGAAGUGCCAAUCGAUAUUCUCACUUCCUCUUCUUGGCUGGUGGCUGGGGUGUUUCCUCCUCUUCGUCUUCUUCGUCCUCAUCUUCGUCCUCAUCCUCAUCUUCAUCAUCGUCAUCUCCAUUGUCAUCAUCGUCAUCGUCAUCUUCCUCAUCACCUCCAGCUCUUCCAUCACCAUUUGCUUCAGGAUCAUCCUCUGGAUCACCGUCAUCACCUUCUUCACCUCCAGAGAAAUCUUCAUCAUCGUCGUCGUCAUCCUGAUCAUUCGCAUCAUCGUCGUCGUCGUCAUCUUCAUCAUCCUCCGUUUCACUGCCAUCUUUGUUUUCCUGAUCAGGG